CCUACGGGGUGCUGCAGUGAGGAAUCUUGGUCAAUGGCCGGAAGGCUGAACCAGCCAUGCCGCGUGAAGGUCAGUGCCCUAUGGGCGUUAAACUUCUUUUGUGCGGGAGCAAUAAUGGUCACGUGUGGCCAGACGAGAGUACCGUACGAAUAUGGAUGGGCUAACUCCGUGCCAGCAGCCGCGGUAAUACGGAGGAUCCGAGCGUUGUCCGGAUUUAUUGGGUUUAAAGGGAGCGUAGUCGGGUUGUUAAGUCAGGUGUGAAAGUUUGGGGCUCAACCGUAAAAUUGCAAUUGAUACUGGCAGUCGUGAGUACAGGUGAGGUAGGCGGAAUUCGUGGUGUAGCGGUGAAAUGCGUAGAUAUCACGAAGAACUCCGAUUGCGAAGGCAGCUUACUAAACUGCCACUGACAUUGAUGCUCGAAAGUGUGGGUAGCAAACAGGAUUAGAUACCCUUGUAGUC
RNAcentral lists this ribosomal RNA (459 nucleotides) under uncultured bacterium. Its description in RNAcentral is "partial 16S ribosomal RNA". It matches the Rfam family "Bacterial small subunit ribosomal RNA", at positions 338 to 795 of the family's 1533-position model. The record is from RNAcentral.